CCUACGGGAGGCAGCAGUGGGGAAUAUUGGUCAAUGGACGCAACUCUGACCCAGCAACGCCGCGUGAAUGAUGAAGGUCUUCUGAUUGUAAAGUUCUUUUCUAAUGGAAGAAAAAAGUGACGGUACCUUAGGAAUAAGCCUCCGCUAACUACGUGCCAGCAGCCGCGGUAAUACGUAGGAGGCAAGCGUUAUCCGGAUUGACUUGGCGUAAAGGGUGAGUAGGUGGUUUGACAAGUUAGUAGCGAAACUCCGGGGCUCAACUUAGGAACUACAACAGAAACUGGUGAACUUGAGUGCAGGAGAGGUAAUCGGAAUUCCUAGUGUAGCGGUGAAAUGCGUAGAUAUUAGGAGGAACACCAGUGGCGAAGGCAGAUUGCUAGACUGUAACUGACGCUGAGGCACGAAAGCGUGGGGAGCAAACAGGAUUAGAUACCCGAGUAGUC
RNAcentral lists this ribosomal RNA (443 nucleotides) under uncultured bacterium. Its description in RNAcentral is "partial 16S ribosomal RNA". It matches the Rfam family "Bacterial small subunit ribosomal RNA", at positions 338 to 795 of the family's 1533-position model. The record is from RNAcentral.